Long non-coding RNA from Pleuronectes platessa (European plaice), 7258 nucleotides. RefSeq lists it as uncharacterized. The record is from RefSeq and is a predicted model, not a curated record. NCBI's taxonomy places the organism in Eukaryota, Metazoa, Chordata, Actinopteri, Pleuronectiformes, Pleuronectidae. The transcript is spliced from 2 exons.
GACUUACACAAGGAUUCCUGAUGGAUGAUGCAGUGAAGGAAAAUAAGAUCCUGGUCAGUGUUUUCCUCUUUGUCCUGGAUUCUUUUCAGCAACCCAACAUUUUUUCCACUUAAAAUUGGAGAUCCAUCAGUUGUGAUAUUGACAAGUUUACUCCAAGGUAGCUUCAUUCUUUCAAUGACAGCAGACACCUAGUUAUACAAGUCCUCUCCCCGCGUUGUUCCUUUCAUGGACUCCAUGGUCAAAAACUCCUGUUAUCGCAAAACUGUCAUAAAUGCCUUGCAUAAACAUGAGGAGCUGAGCAGUGUCUUUUACGUCCGUACUUUCAUCCAGUGCUAGUGAAUAUAACUCAAAGGAAUCAAAGUUUUUGUUUAAUUGGCUGGCUAUAUUUUCAUCAAUCAGUUCCACACGGCGAGUCACAGUCCUGCGUGAUACAGAGCUGCCAACUUUUCAAAAAACCUUGGAGUGAGAUUCUGUCGGGGGUGACGGGGGUUGCCGCCAUAGACUGUAUAUAUAAAUGGACAGAGGGUCCUUGACGUCACCCGUUGGUUUCUGCAGAGUGAGAAUGAGGCUAGUCGGAGGCGUUCCCCCGGGGCCACCUUGCCAGUGCUGACUCUUCCUAGGUUCCUGGCUAACCAAUCAAUGGGCAAGGAAGAGGAGCGAGAGUGUCGACCCACAGCUUAGCGACGGCAGCAGAGCUCUUUGCUGCGGCUAACUGGCGACAUGCUAACAUCCGGUGCUAACAAGCUACCGCUGCUACCGGAUGGUCGCCAUCUUUACCAUGAACUAGAGGUAAGUAACCUUGAAACUACACAACCAAAAUCUAUUGCUUUAUCUUUCAUCAUAUGCUUACAUGCCUAAAGUGUUUUUUUUAAUAUGUAAUUGUUAUAAAAGUUAGUUUUUUUUAACAUGUCUAAUGAACAGAUUGAAGCAAGUUAACUACAGAGUUGUGUGUUUGGUUGCGACUUGAAUUUUUAUUUUAAUAAGUUAAUAUCAAUAUACGCUACAUGUGUCAGUUGCAUGUGAUAGUAACUAUGUCUCACAAAUAUUCUGAUACAGGCUGGUAUAUCCACCAUUACUAUUGCACCUCGUUUAUUUAGCCUGUUAUGGAAUUUUAGAGUGAAUUAGACAGUUUAGAUAUGAUUAUAAUCUCCACACACCAGUGUCGUAAACAGUUCUCAUUAUAUAAUUAUGUUUUCACACUGAGGGAAGUGGAGAGACUUGAUGUGGACUGUUAUCAACAGCUCUUUGGGAGAUUAUCACCUUGAAUAUAACAGAUGAGGUAGAAAUACAUUUGAUCUAUUAUAAAAUGUUUUAUUUCGUUCAGUACUUUUAUCAAAAGCGACUUAAAAUAUGUGCAUUUAACCAUGAGGAUACGAACCCAGAGCCCAGUACCAGUACGGAGAAAAAAGGUUUUCACAGCGAAUCUGUUGGUUUCUGCAGGUAUGUGGGUUUCCUUUUUGAUUUAAUAAUUGAUUGCCCAACAAUAUGUUACUGGUGUGUGUAGUUUUUAAAAGGAAAGGGUGUGUAUACUGUGUUUUAUGUACUGUAAGAAAAGUAGGGAGUGUAUUUUUGUCUCACUAAGGAUUUUUGAACGGAGAAAAAGGUUUUCACAGCGAAUCUGUUGGUUUCUGCAGGUUUCAGCAGGUGAAUAAAAGACUCAAAAAAAGUCACAAAAUCACGUGUCCCACAUCUGUUACACCAAGACAAUGAAUGUACGGUAUGGAGUUCUUUCACAUUAAAAGUAAUGCAUAUAUUAUUUAAUACAUUAUGUAUUAUGUGUAAUACUUUGCUUUGAUUGUUUGUAAGUAAUGAAAACAGGUUUGUACCUGGAGUCAGUGUUGAAGUGAUGACUCAGUGUACAGUCUGGUUGGAUACCAGUUGUGUCUCAUGUUGGACAUCCUAAAUGAACAUUCAACACAAACACAGAUAUGUAAAGUCAUACAUGUGCCAGGUUAACUCCUUAUAGGACUUUUACAUGGUAAAAAUAAUAGUUUAUUACUUCAAAGUUCAUCAGAUAUUAAUCCUUUCAGCUUAGGAAAUAGGUGGUGGCCUCAAAUGCUCUAUGAGACGGUCUAUUCUAGUAGAGUUAAAAUUCCUGUAAUUUAUUUAUAAUUAACACAAUAAUUCAGCGAAGUCUGCCUUAGAUUAACGAUGUAUGAUUAACUGAAGGUAGCAGACAGGUUUAGUUUUCACUGUAACACGUUACAACACAUCGACACCAAUACUCUGAAUAAAGAGCUUUAGGAGAAGUAAUUUAAACAGCUGCUCUUAAAAUGCAGAUGUGACUUUAAAUACUCACGUUUCAGUUGACCACAGUAAAUCUGUUUCUGCAGAUUAAGAAUCUGUGUAACAUUGUCAAUUCUAAUGGUUUGGCCAGUGAAACAAAUUUACAUUACAUCAGAUAUCUAAUGUGGUGGGGCAUAUUGUCCGAACACACAGUCUCCUGUCUCAGAUUCAUCCUCAUAAACUAACGCUUCUCUCUGCUUGGGGGACCGGCUCAUAUCGGUUCAUGUCGGUAAUAACUCCCAUUCGCAUCGCCAUUACUGCUGGUAUUUUGCCUCCGGGCUAGCUGAGCUAAGCUAACAACCCAGAUACAGAGACACCUUUACCUGCGAAUAACACAUCUAAAUAAAAUACUAAACUGUACUUACAACAGAAACGGGAGCGCAGAUGUCUUUAACUUGUCCGUCAGGAGAACAAGCAGAACAUCAAACCGUAUUAUUCAACCGGGGAGUAGCCUGUUAGCUCAGGUAGAGCCGACCAGGCACCAGGCUAGGAGUUACAGUCGUCGGGCUGACUGUGACAUCACGUGAAUUUCAAACCGCUAUAUCGCUUAAACGACGGAGUUAGAAAAAAAUUCACCCCCCUCAGAGUUGUCAUGAAGAAAUAACCUUGUGAUUGAGACUAAAACCAAUUUUUGUACCAGGCUGUAAACAGGUUUAAUCCUGCUCUAAAGUCGGGCUUUUUAACAUUGGAGUCAAUGGGACUUUCUGUUUCUUGGAGCCAGGCGUAGCGGAUUCCCAUGGAACUGCAGCUUUUUGCACCUCCAUAUCGGCUUCAUCGCUCAGCCCAGGAUGUUGCUCCUUGGUUGCCGCGCACGUUGCCACCACGUUGGUGGCUCAAAUAUCAGGGAAUUGGAAUUAAUUUGGUUGUUUCCAUGUUGUGCCCUGCAUUCUGGUUGUUUGUGGGGCCCAAAGUCGUUUUGUAGCGUUAAUUUGAGUUUCUGGCAUGUCUACCGUCCCAAAAUCUCUGGAAAAAAACAACGAUACGCAAAGGUACGUUGAAUGGGAUUACGACCGAAAUAAACGUCAUAGUCACACCAUGCCCAUGUAGGGAGUCUCGCUACAUGGCCUUGGACACACACACUCGCCUGCUCCUGGUAUUUCAUGACGGCCUGAUACGACAAUGUUUUAAAAAAUGAUUGUGACUUAGUCAACCAAAAAACAUGUUCGUCUUGUCAACGAAAGUUAAAAUAGAUUUAGUCAUAGUUUUUAUUUUCAAAGAUCCGUUUUUUUUUGGGCGUGAGAAAUUGGAUGUGCGCGUGUGAAAACAUGCAAAAGAGUGUGUCACACGGCGAAAGCUUGAGAGUUGGCAGCUCUAGUGAUAAACUGACUUUUUCAAAUUUGAUUUUGGUCUCCGGACACAAGAUGUCUGCUGUCUGUACCAUGCAUUCUUUUACAAACUCGCCUUCGGAGAAAGGCUUGCUAGCCUUUGCGAUUUCGAAGAUACCAAAAAACUUGCCUUGGUAGUUGACUCCUGAUUCGCACUUUGUCGAUGAUUUUUUUUUUUGGUGAGUCUGUUAAUUAGCCGCCAACCUCUGAGUCGUAGCCGCCCGUUCUUGCGUUGACUGCUUGCUAGCAAAGGUAGUAGAUUCGUAGCAAAAAGUAUUUUGUUUUCCACUUCGUGUUAAACACUGCACUCAUUGUCCACUUUUCGUUUCCUUGAACCGCUCAAUUUAUAGAAGGGCUUACAGGGCAAAGCGAAAAAUUGAAGGGAGAUCAUGUGCCCUUUCAAGCCCUAUACACCACACUCCCGGUCAAAUUAAUUUAGCUGACUCUUUUAUCCAAAGCGAGUUACAAUAAGUGCAUUCAACCCCAAGGAAUGCACUUAAAGCAAAACUACAAAGUUUAGUUUUGCUUUAUUUUUUAAUAAAAAAAAAAAAUUUGGACAAGAUCGGCGGGCCGGAUUAAAAAGCCCCUGGGCCGUACUUCUGUUCUAAAGUUAAUAAGAGGCGGGUGAGAUUCGCCUAAAACGCCUGUCUGAGGAAUGCCCAAAUUAAAUUGAAAGCUGUUCUUGAACCAUUUGGAGUACAUGCAUGAUCUUGGUCUCUUUUGAAAGGUACCAUUCUGAACUCCCCCCCCCCCCCCCUCCUAACAGCCAGAAUCACACUUACUGCUACUGGCAUUGAGUAAUAGCAGUUGGCACACAGUGAAGUAGAAGGUUUUUAUUUCCGUCUGAAUAUAUUUUUUAAUAAACAGAUGCCUGCAGAUGACUCUAGCUGGGACUUAUGAGCUGGAAAACACAAUGGGACCCUAGCAUGAAGCCUUGACUAGCCCAAGUUCAAAUUUGAUAACAAUACCACAGAAAAUGUAUAUUUGACAGAUUUUUUCCUAAGCGCAUGUCUAGGCGUUUUCCACAAAGGCCAUUUGGAGACUCCAAAGGACCCUUUGUAACCAUGGUAACCAACCAGGCUAAAAAGGGUAAUUUUACACUCAAAAUCAUACUUUUAUAUAAAGGAGACAAAACCGGUCAUAUGGUUUAAAAUUUAUACAAAUAAACAUCUUUCCUAUAUUUUAGCAACAUGUAGCAGUCACGACGGGGAUGAAACACUGAUGCACGAAGCUCUGGCACCAGCUGGACACUGUUACGCCGGGUUCACACCGGACACGGAAGCGAUGCCAAAGUGUGGCUAGGCGCAGCGCCAAGCCUUAAAUAACAGCUGGCUCCCAUUCCCAUGUUAAACCAUUGUGCGGGUCACACCGGGCGCUGAAGCACCGCGUCAAUGCUGCAUAACGCCGUGAAGCGACCUUUUCGGCGUCGAGUCUAUUUUUUCCGCUUGACGCGGGCGUAUCGCAACAUGAAACACACUGAAAAAUGAUUUUAAACGAUAUUGAUGAAAAUUUUUAAAUGAUAUAAAUUAUCAAAUAUGCAUCCCAUACUUUGUAUUCACCUUCUGUUGUCCAGGAGUUUUAAUUUUACCACUUUUACCAACCACAUUAUUAAAUGUCCCCCUCUGCCCAUCCACGACAGCCACACAAGCAGUCAUAAAGAUAAAGAGAGAGAGUUCUUCAAUAUGGAUGACAUUAAAUUAAGAAUUGAAGUGGAGAAGUACAGUGAGUUGUAUGAUUCUCGGAACAUGUUGUAUAAAGACAACACAAAAAAAUACAAAUGUUGGGACGCUGUUGCUGAAUGUUGGAGCAACAAGUAAGCAUAUGCUUUUAUACUACUGGAUCAACGGGUGAUAUAAUUAGCGCUGCCCGUCGCUUCCGUGUCCGGUGUGAACCCGGUGUUACGCAGUGACUUGCUCUGAAGGCUGAAUUAUAGUCCUGCGACUGCAACCACGGAAGGCCACGCAGCUGCAUCGACGGACUCGUUUUGGUUUAUACUUCUCUAACGUGCUGCGCGUGUUGCAACGCAAUUCACCGCCAGAACCCUAGGCGGAGUAACGUUUUUUUUCAAAGACAAAACACACAAAGAAGAGACUUCUUCUUCUUCGUCGACUGUUUAUUUACAUCGCCACUCCGGCUCCUCAUAGCCUAUUUCUGGCGGACAAAUCGGCCAGUCACUGACGGGUUAUACAAGUGGUCAUACUUUCGGAUCUCUUCUGCCAAGUGCUCUUCUAUUUGGUCCAUAUUCGUUCUUCUAAAUCUUCUGUGAUUUCCGCGUAUUGUGGGGCAUGAAACCGGAAACUAGACUCCGGACGGGAUGUAGAACGCAGACCAAUCACAAGCCUUGCGGGCUGCGUGAGGCUCGCGUCGCUUUGUCGUGUAGUUAGAAAAAUUGGCGGACGCACGCAAGCCCGCAGAGGGCACGAAAGGGUCGUGUUGCGUGUCUUGCGUGCGUGCGUGCGUGCAACCCGACUAUAAUUCGGCCUCAAGUCCCCCGUCAAACAGCGUAUCAUAAUUUGGGAAAUUUCAUUGGUUAAACAUUACGCCAGUCAUCAGAACAAUCUGUUGCAAUUGGCUCAGCCUUUACACGUCAGAAGAGGGGCAGGCUCUUUCCAAAAACAAGGUGACUCGUUUGCUAAUGCAGGCUGUGGACAGCCCAUGCCAGCUCAUGCCAGCCCCGAUUGGGUCAAGUUUAGAUUGACAGCUCACUUGAACCAAUAGGAUAUGGCUACCCACCCUUUUGAGAUCUUUGCUUAUAUAAAAACAGAAAUUACGAGGGAGUGUACGUCCCAGUUUACACGGAGGAGGUGGCUGCGCUGACAUUAUGCAACAGCUGACAGUGGCUAUUCUUGGAUGUAAUAGUGUUUUUUAAGACUGAUUAUGUUACUGGAUUGGAUCGUCUGGACCUUUGGCAAUGUACCAACACCGUUUUUGUUGGAAUGUUGUCGAUCUGUGGAUUAACAUGAAGCUUCUUAGCCAUCUCUCGUCCUAUUAGGGAGCGCUAGUGUUCAUUUUGUCCUGGCAGCUGUCCCAGAAGUUGAGCAGUCUACUGUCCUUGUUGCUGCAGAAGUCAGUGAAGUCCCUGAGCAGGCGGUCAGACAGCCUCUCGUCACCCAGCAGACCUGUCCUCCAGGCUUUGGUCAGCAUGGUGUUGUAGGCCCAGUAGUAACCGACCUGCUCCUCGCUGCCGAACGGGCCGUGGCUGUUGGAGGUGGUGGAGUUCCGGCGGCGGCGCUGCUGUCCACUCGAGUACUUCCUCUUGGAGUAUGGGAGCUGUAGGAACAAGGUCCCUGACAGGAACAAGUGGGAUUUAAGCUUCAUGUCUAGUGACCAAGAAGCAGCAAAUGUGACUUAAUAAAAGAAUUAAACCUGUAACGUGAAUGUACUGGGGUUUGUUCUCAGAGGGGAAAUUAAAAGCAGAAGCAGAAAACUUGUCGUGCACGAAGCCAAAUCUGGAAGAAAGAGAAACAUAUAUCGAUUCCUGCAUCUGAGACUCUUUGAAAAAAAAUUGCUUUGAAAAUAUAUUGGUGCCUCAUUCCUGAGCCUUUAGAGAUAUUCUACGAACAGAAUGUUUAGUAAGAUGUCAGUUUCAUUUUGUAAUUGAAUUUUUAAAGGUUUAAACAGCUACUGUGAAUAAAAAUGUAUUUAAA